AUUCCUUUACAUUUCCACUGAAACAUAAAUCCUUGUAACUGACUCAAGACCAACUUUUUUUUUUUUUUUUUUUACAUUCUGGAAUAGUUUAUUUCAUCCAACUUGCUACUCAAAGACUUUUACUGUUACACAUCAGUAUACAACAUAACACAUUUCUAAUCAUUACAGAGAACUCAGUGUCCCCUCCUGGGUCUCAUGAGCAGCGAACAGAUAAAGAGCUUGUCGAGUGGUUGCAACUGCAAGGAGCAGAUACGAGAACAAUUGAAAAGAUUCUUGAAGAGGGUUACACACUGUCUGAUAUUCUUAAUGACAUCACUAAGGAAGACCUAAGGUACCUUAGACUACAGUAAGAAUAGCCUCAAAACAUUUUGUGUAACAGAAAAUGGCUUUUUUGGUGUGCUUAGGCUUUUUACAUAAAAGCAGUAGAAAAGAAAGUGCUGGUAGCUUUCCCCCUUUCCUUUAGUCAGGGAACAAAAACUACCCAACCACACUCCAAACUCUGGAGUUUCCAAGGGUGAAGCUGGGGAAAAGCUGAGAGGGAGCAGAAGCUAAAGGCCCAGUAGGCACAGUCAACAGACUGCCAGGCUGGGAGUGGAAUGAGGAAAGACAGGAGUUGACAGCAGGCCACACUCAAACCCUUUCGUUCUCCUCCACUGGUCAUCUUUAAUAGCCUACUUUGCACAGAUGCCCUGGCACUCCUGUACAUACCUCUAAGGCCACAUCCCACUUGUGCUGGGGUAGAAAUUUCACCUCCAUAUGUAAAGGGAACAUAUUCCUAUUUUAGUUUUUAAGUUAGGGACUGCAUUUUUAAGACUAGCCAGCAAAACAAGUCUAGAAGUACAUGCUAUAGCUUUUGCCAUAAGGGCUCCUAAAGAAGUAUUGUGUGGUACUGCUUUGAAGUCAUCUUUCCUUACGACUCACUCUAAAGAAGACUUCUGAUUGUUUCGUAGCGGUGGUCUUCUCUGCAGGCUCUGGACUGCAGUCUCCCAGUACAGAAGACGGGCUCAGGGGGCCCCAGCAACCCAAGAUGAAGCUUAAUAAUCAGCCACACGGGGGAUAGCGGGAGCCCAGAGCUGACAUCUUUGUUAAAGCUUCUACUACAUACACACCAAUCCUGCUGCAAUUCCACAAGGAAAACACCACUGUUCAUUGAACAAAUUUAAGAACUUGAAGUUCUAAAGAAUUAUGGAAAAAAUGUUAAUAUUUCUCAACAUGUUUUAAAGGUGAGUGGAACUGUAUUUUGAGAACUGUGAUUGUAAAACUUGGUCUUGACAUCCCAAAGUAUUAUGGGAUUCUUUACCUUCAAACAUUUGCUGGAAAGGUGGAGCAACAGGUGUUUAACAAAAAGGCUGGGAAUCACUGUUUCAAUUAUACAUUCCAUACAUUAAUGGGAAUUGCACUUAAAAUUAGAAAAAUCAAUAAGACUAUGCCUUGUAGUUAAUAAUGUUUGAUAUGAAUGUAAAUAGAAAACUGUUAGGAAAAUAGCUUCAUAUUUAUAUUGAAUGUAUAAAUGGAGAAAACUAACUUAUUUGGCCUUUGAAACGAAGUAGUUAUAUUUAAAUAUGGAAUUGUCCUUGCACCCCUGCCAAGUUAUAAUAAAUAAUUGUGUUUUAUUAAUGAGACAUGAUGGUUCAGUGUGAACAGGCUUCAGCACUGAUGUGCACACUAACAGGGGUGUGUGCACAUUAGAGUACACUAGGUAAGCUGUUAAUAAAAAGACACUUAGUCCUUGGAAGGAAAGUUAUGACAACCUAGACAGCAUAUUAAAAAGCAGAGACAUUACUUUGCCAACAAAGGUCCGUCUAGUCAAGGCUGUGGUUUUUCCAGUAGUCAUGUAUGGAUGUGAGAGUUGGACUGUGAAGAAAGCUGAGUGCUGAAGUAUUGAUGCUUUUGAACUGUGGUGUUGGAGAAGACUCUUGAGAGUCCCUUGGACUGCAAG
Molecule: long non-coding RNA, 1939 nt
Filed under: Capra hircus (goat)
Lineage: Eukaryota; Metazoa; Chordata; Mammalia; Artiodactyla; Bovidae
Description: lncRNA (ENSCHIG00000006091.1)
Source: RNAcentral